AUUGAACGCUGGCGGCAUGCUUUACACAUGCAAGUCGAGCGGUAACAGGCCGCAAGGUGCUGACGAGUGGCGAACGGGUGAGUAAUGCAUCGGAACGUGCCCAGCCGUGGGGGAUAACUACUCGAAAGAGUAGCUAAUACCGCAUACGAUCUAUGGAUGAAAGCGGGGGACCGUAAGGCCUCGCGCGAUUGGAGCGGCCGAUGUCAGAUUAGGUAGUUGGUGGGGUAAAGGCUCACCAAGCCAACGAUCUGUAGCUGGUCUGAGAGGACGACCAGCCACACUGGGACUGAGACACGGCCCAGACUCCUACGGGAGGCAGCAGUGGGGAAUUUUGGACAAUGGGCGCAAGCCUGAUCCAGCAAUGCCGCGUGCAGGAAGAAGGCCUUCGGGUUGUAAACUGCUUUUGUACGGAACGAAACGGCUCUGGUUAAUACCCGGGGCUAAUGACGGUACCGUAAGAAUAAGCACCGGCUAACUACGU
This 481-nucleotide ribosomal RNA is filed under the name uncultured bacterium. Its description in RNAcentral is "partial 16S ribosomal RNA". It matches the Rfam family "Bacterial small subunit ribosomal RNA", at positions 30 to 506 of the family's 1533-position model. The record is from RNAcentral.